Molecule: long non-coding RNA, 1661 nt
Filed under: Calidris pugnax (ruff)
Lineage: Eukaryota; Metazoa; Chordata; Aves; Charadriiformes; Scolopacidae
Description: lncRNA (ENSCPUG00000007811.1)
Source: RNAcentral
UAUUUUGUCUUAAAAUCCCCCAAAACAGCUUUACAAACAUACAGGGGAAGGCAGACGCUUCAGCAAACAGCUAUGUAGUAGCCAAAUCUUUAAUUUUGAGGCACCUCUUGGUAGAUAAAUCUGGUUUCUAUACAUCUGGAAGCGUGGAAAGCUUGGUUGGUUAUUUAAAAUAAAAUAAUAUUUCUAUAUUUAAAGCUUCGGUCCUGGAAGAUGCUGAUCUCCAGCUGAAUCAUGCCCAGAAGCCACCGACAUCCUUCGUGCCAAGUCCAGGCAGGAGGUGGAAGUGUUGGUCCCUCCUAGAGGAGUUAUUCUAAAUAUUUACAUGUUGAUUCUUUUUAACUUUUGAGACACAAAAAAAAACCAAACCAACCCUCACCAACCCCCAAAUCAACAUGGGAAUCUCUUCUGCUCUGUCUGGCUUUGUGUAAACUGAGCGGAGAAAAUAUUUCCUGUUUUAAGAUCAAAUAGUGAGAGUUCAGCCCCGUUGCUCUGGUUAUCUGAGAAGGGGUUAAAAAUGGGGUUGAAAAGCUUGAAUGGUGCCAAUUUGGGGCUAUAUUUGGUCUGGGAGGUAUUUUAUUUUCGGGGGACGGGACACACAGAGGAUACAAAAAGUCACCCCGUGAUGUAGGAAAAAAUAAAGGGUUUUUUAGCUGAAGGGGAGAACUCACCGUGGUGGCUUGGGGUAUGAAGGGCCUGGUCUGAAAUUGGAAUUUAUUUGAAGUGCUUAAAAAUAUACAUUUGGAAAUAAAAAUUCACUGGGGGAGCUGAGGGGGGGGUUAAUAUUGGAAUCCCUUUUUCUGGUGUGGCUGUUCCUGCAGCGAAACCCCCUCGUGGAGCCUUUUCCUGGGGUGCUCAGUAGGGAAAGGGUGGCCUGAGAGGUGUGCUAUAAAUGGGGGAAUUAAGGAAUAAAAGGAAAAUAAUGCCUUUUUUUUUUUUAAUUUCAGAUCCAGGUGCUCCACGUGGUGCUGAGGGAAAUGGUUCUUUUUCACGGUGAUGCUGCUCUGGGGGCUGACAGGAGGGUUGAAAAAUCCCCUCACUGUCCAUUGGAAAUUAUUUUUCCAGAGCUCUCCCAGGCAAAACUCGGCGUUUUUAUCAACUUUUAUAGCAGAGAGGAGCCAGGAGGUGGCACUGGAUGGCAGCAAAUUGAGGUUUCUCUCCCUUCAGCAGCUCCUGGCCCUGCUUCAGAGCCGAAGAAAAUAAAAUAAUUCUACUUUUUAAGGUUGGAAACCUGGAUAAACCCCUCAAGCUGGGGUUGGGGCACCGCUGCCCCGUGGGUGUCGAGGAGAUGGGUGGGUUUGGGUCGUAGCUGCUCUGGGUGGUGGGGAUUUUCAGCCAGAGGUUUUUGGGAGCUCAAAGCUCCGCGCAGACAUGAUGUAACAGCUUUUUUUGUCCACCAGCUAGUUUCAGAGUUUCUUCUUUGGUUUUCAGUGGGUUUUCCUGUUUUCUGCUUCAGACUCGGUGAAUUCUAGAAAUUCCACUAUACAGUGAUUUUUGAGCCUGUCAACUCUCUAUAUGUUUUUCCCUUACUGCAGUAAAAAUACUUGCUGGCAUUUUUUCUUUAGUUGAAAUUUCAUGGAGCCCCAAAUAUAAUUUUAAAAGACUGGCUCAACCGUCAAGACCUUUCAUUUUUAUUUAAAUAAAGCCCAUCUUCAUACUAAACA